GGCUCAGGGGCCCGUGGAAUGUGCUGGGAGCUCAGCCUGGGCCCUAGGGGGGCAGGUGACCGUGUAACACAACCACACCCAGCAAGGCCUGCACCCAUUUUUUCCCUUUUUGUCAGUCCCAGCAGAGACACCAGGGACUGCAGGGAGACCAAGCUCCUGUACCCCAGCUCCCUGGUCCCCUUGCUGGGGCUGCUUCAUUACCAGAGGCAGAGACACAGCCAGGAAGGUGUCAGAAGCUUUUAUUGAGGAGGCAGGAACCAGCUUUAAACCCCAGAGGGAAGCUCCCUCUCCAAUGCAGAGACAGGUUGAGCCGCCGGGAGCGAUUUGGCCUUGUCCUUAGCCGGGGGGACAUAGAGGCCCAAGGUCUGCAAGGUGGCAUGUGAAUCUUUCAUCCCAUGCAGCCUGACGUCCAUCUGGUCCACAAAGAGCGCCUUGCCA
Molecule: long non-coding RNA, 438 nt
Organism: Trachemys scripta elegans
Lineage: Eukaryota; Metazoa; Chordata; Testudines; Emydidae
Exons: 3
Source: RefSeq, a predicted model, not a curated record